Molecule: ribosomal RNA, 505 nt
Filed under: uncultured bacterium
Lineage: Bacteria
Description: bacterial SSU rRNA
Rfam family: Bacterial small subunit ribosomal RNA
Source: RNAcentral
GAUCAUGGCUCAGGAUGAACGCUAGCUAACAGGCUUAACACAUGCAAGUCGAGGGGAAACGACAUCGAAAGCUUGCUUUGAUGGGCGUCGACCGGCGCACGGGUGAGUAACGCGUAUCCAACCUGCCCACCACUUGGGGAUAACCUUGCGAAAGUAAGACUAAUACCCAAUGAUAUCCCACGAAGGCAUCGGAAUGGGAUUAAAGAUUUAUCGGUGAUGGAUGGGGAUGCGUCUGAUUAGCUUGUUGGCGGGGUAACGGCCCACCAAGGCAACGAUCAGUAGGGGUUCUGAGAGGAAGGUCCCCCACAUUGGAACUGAGACACGGUCCAAACUCCUACGGGAGGCAGCAGUGAGGAAUAUUGGUCAAUGGACGAGAGUCUGAACCAGCCAAGUAGCGUGCAGGACGACGGCCCUAUGGGUUGUAAACUGCUUUUAUAAGGGAAUAAAGUGAGUCUCGUGAGACUUUUUGCAUGUACCUUAUGAAUAAGGACCGGCUAAUUCCGUG